Molecule: non-coding RNA, 810 nt
Organism: Arachis ipaensis
Lineage: Eukaryota; Viridiplantae; Streptophyta; Magnoliopsida; Fabales; Fabaceae
Source: RefSeq, a predicted model, not a curated record
UCAGAAGCAAAUUUCAAAAUUUAAAUGUCUUAAAUUCAAAUGGUGGAGCUAUUUUCCCACCAAAAUGUUUUUAUAUAUUACAGAACAACUUGAGCCUUCUUUUCAGCAGAAUGGUGGAAAACUUUUUUCCACCAAAGAAGGAAUUGUUCAGCCGUUCCUGUCAAAGGUUAAAUAAAAAUAAGGUUCAAACAUAACAAUAGAGAUAGUUCUUCAUGAUGUCAAGGGAACUAAUUCAGCUUCUAACCCCUACAUCAGUGCACUCGCUGAAGAACUAUUAUCAAAGCUUACAGGGACAAAAAAAAAAAGAAUAUAGAAGCAUAAAAUGGUACCACAAAGGGGAGGGCUAGAGAGGACGACAGCAAAACCACUGAGCUUGGAGAAGAGGACGGCGGGUCGGCCGCGACACUGGGCAGACGAAGGCGGCGACGCUAGAGACGGAGAGACUCGGUGGUGGCAGAACUCAUGAGAUGGAGAGACGACGGAGCUUGAGGCACGGUGAAACACGGACGGGGGAGCUCCAGACAUAGUUAAUCGCGGACGGCGGAGCAGGAGCUUGAGGCGUUUUGAAUGGUGGAUGCUGUGUGAGACUUGAGUGUGUGGGAGAAUACAAAAGCGAUGAGUGAUAUGUGCUGGAUGAUGAGAGUCAAUACAUGCUUGAUGCAUACAUUCAUAUUAAAAAUAACAAUUGAAAAAAACCCUACGGGCAAGGCUGAGGCGGUGGCUAAGUGCAGAUCCAGUCAAGGGGAAUGAAAGUGAGGUUAGUGUAUCUGCUGACUUGGUAGCAAAACACUUUUACUAAAGAAAUGCUUA